UCAUCAUUUUUAAAUUUAAAUAAUUUUAAAUUGAAAGGUGUACAUUUUUAACUUCUUGAACCUUUAAAAUAUUGAAAAGCUGCCAGGAAUUCUACCAGCCUCCGCCAAUUAACCCUAUAGAGGGCGCCACAUUUGGUAACCCCAACCUAUCGCCUUCGUUUCCGCAAUCUUUCCGUGUCCCUCUUGUCUGAUCUGAGUACUUUCUUCGAUCGGUCGUGUUUCCACUCAGAUAACACUCGAAAUGGUUACUCAAGUCCAGCUUCCAGCAGAAAAGUCGAACGAAGCCAGCGAAAGGGAAAAA
Long non-coding RNA from Drosophila ananassae, 301 nucleotides. RefSeq lists it as uncharacterized. The transcript has 2 exons. The record is from RefSeq and is a predicted model, not a curated record. NCBI's taxonomy places the organism in Eukaryota, Metazoa, Arthropoda, Insecta, Diptera, Drosophilidae.